RNAcentral lists this transfer RNA (73 nucleotides) under Crocodylus mindorensis (Philippine crocodile). Its description in RNAcentral is "tRNA-Asp". The record is from RNAcentral. Lineage: Eukaryota; Metazoa; Chordata; Crocodylia; Crocodylidae.
GAAGAGUUAGUAUACACAUAUUACCCGCCCUUGUCAAGGGCGAAAUAUAGGACCAUGAACCCUUUACUCUUCU